Molecule: ribosomal RNA, 454 nt
Filed under: uncultured bacterium
Lineage: Bacteria
Description: bacterial SSU rRNA
Rfam family: Bacterial small subunit ribosomal RNA
Source: RNAcentral
AGUGGCGGACGGGUGAGUAAUACGUAGGAAUCUGCCCUGCAGUGGGGGACAACCUGGGGAAACUCAGGCUAAUACCGCAUACGUCUUACGAGAGAAAGCGGGCCUCUGCUUGCAUGCUCGUGCUGCAGGAUGAGCCUACGUCGGAUUAGCUAGUUGGUGAGGUAAUGGCUCACCAAGGCGACGAUCCGUAGCUGGUCUGAGAGGACGAUCAGCCACACUGGGACUGAGACACGGCCCAGACUCCUACGGGAGGCAGCAGUGGGGAAUAUUGGACAAUGGGGGCAACCCUGAUCCAGCAAUGCCGCGUGUGUGAAGAAGGCCUGCGGGUUGUAAAGCACUUUCAGUAGGGAGGAUUAGCUAGCGUGUUAAUACCACGAGAGCUUGACGUUACCUACAGAAGAAGCACCGGCUAACUCCGUGCCAGCAGCCGCGGUAAUACGGAGGGUGCGAGCGU